CCCUUAGAUGUUCUGGGCCGCACGCGCGCUACACUGAAUGGAUCAACGUGUUUUCCCUUCCCGAGAGGGACGGGUAACCCGCUGAACCCCAUUCGUGGUAGGGAUCGGAGCUUGCAAUUGUUCUCCGUGAACCAGGAAUUCCCAGUAAGCGCAAGUCAUAAGCUUGCGUUGAUUACGUCCCUGCCCUUUGUACACACCGCCCGUCGCACCUACCGAUUGAAUGGUCCGGUGAAGCCUCCGGAUUGGCGCGCACCUCGGUGCCGCCGAGAAGUUGGCUAAACCUUACCAUUUAGAGGAAGGUGAAGUCGUANCA
This 313-nucleotide ribosomal RNA is filed under the name uncultured eukaryote. Its description in RNAcentral is "partial 18S ribosomal RNA". It matches the Rfam family "Eukaryotic small subunit ribosomal RNA", at positions 1470 to 1796 of the family's 1831-position model. The record is from RNAcentral.